RNAcentral lists this long non-coding RNA (241 nucleotides) under Medicago truncatula (barrel medic). Its description in RNAcentral is "long non-coding RNA (MTRU_LNC006222)". The record is from RNAcentral. Lineage: Eukaryota; Viridiplantae; Streptophyta; Magnoliopsida; Fabales; Fabaceae.
CGUAGAUAAGCAGUGCAAGAAUAGCCUCGAGCGUGUCCUGACAAGUAGUUUUGAGAUUGGCUUGCUCAAGUAGGUACUUUGAAGUGAACCCCCGGAUGUGAGACUUGGUGACAAGAUUCUUAGAGACAUCGGAAGUCUUGAGAUAGAGGUCCUUAGCAAUGAUCAGAGGAGUAAGAGAAGUCCCGGGACCAAUGAAAGGUGUCUUCUCAGCCAUAGGCAAAUCUAGCAAGUGGGAGUAAGC